AACGAACGCUGGCGGCAUGCCUAACACAUGCAAGUCGAACGAGAUCUUCGGGUCUAGUGGCGCACGGGUGCGUAACGCGUGGGAAUCUGCCCUUUGGUUCGGAAUAACAGUUGGAAACGACUGCUAAUACCGGAUGAUGACGAAAGUCCAAAGAUUUAUCGCCAGAGGAUGAGCCCGCGUAGGAUUAGCUAGUUGGUGUGGUAAAGGCGCACCAAGGCGACGAUCCUUAGCUGGUCUGAGAGGAUGAUCAGCCACACUGGGACUGAGACACGGCCCAGACUACUAGGGGAGGCAGCAGUGGGGAAUAUUGGACAAUGGGCGAAAGCGUGAUCCAGCAAUGCCGCGUGAGUGAUGAAGGCCUUAGGGUUGUAAAGCUCUUUUACCCGGGAUUAUAAUGACAGUACCGGGAGAAUAAGCUCCGGCUAACUCCGUGCCAGCAGCCGCCGUAA
Molecule: ribosomal RNA, 449 nt
Filed under: uncultured bacterium
Lineage: Bacteria
Description: partial 16S ribosomal RNA
Rfam family: Bacterial small subunit ribosomal RNA
Source: RNAcentral